Molecule: long non-coding RNA, 1576 nt
Organism: Polyodon spathula (Mississippi paddlefish)
Lineage: Eukaryota; Metazoa; Chordata; Actinopteri; Acipenseriformes; Polyodontidae
Exons: 3
Source: RefSeq, a predicted model, not a curated record
AAUAAACUGGGGGGGACUGGGGGGGGUAGCUUGCAGCACCUUGGCUGGUGGGGACAGGGCACAGAAAUGACAAGAAAGCUGCAAAAUGAUCGUCACAGCAGCGCUUUGCAGGCGCACAGUAACCAGUGUUGACAUUCAAAAAAAAAAAAGUAGAUCCCUUUUAUUUUUAUUCGUAUUGCACAAUAAACGGGUUCAAGUGAAUAGCUGUUAAUGAAACCUUUUGGAUGCAUUUACAGCAGCUGUAAUUGCACAGCUAACCGCCAGCACUCUGAGAUCUUUUCUUGUUCGAUUUAGGGUUAGCAAUUCGUGUGUUUUGUCCUUUUUCAGACAAAAAAAAACCAAAAAAAACAGUUUGGGAUUGAGCAGCUUCGAGAACGUAGCUGGGAUCGUUUUUUUCUGACAGCUCUUCCUCAGAUUGCAUGGGCCUGUCCCGUGGCUCUGUUUUUGGGUGGUCCCUGCUACACCCGUUUGCGAGUGAAGUUCUGGGAUAAGGAACUAGGACUCCUCUCCUGUGCACAACGCAGGCGUUAUCAGCCCCGACCACAGGCAAUAGAUCAAAGUCAGAAACGAGUUCGUUCAAAAACAAGGGCUGUCAAAGGAACGGGCUUCGCUGAGAUAGUCAGAGUUCAGCCUGCAGGGCGAUUUCGAUAGAGUUAUCUCAUUCGUUAUAGGUGUCUAGCGUACCAACCAGUUCCUGCUAUUGUACACGGUGAUCCCUGUUUGUUUAUCUGACUUGCACAUAGGGAGAGCAAUGCUGAAAACGCGAGUGUGUUAAUGCAGAGCCCUUACGGUCGUCCGGUCAGUUGGAAUUCCAAUUAAAUAAAGGAAAUCAACAACGACCCCCAUUGAAAUGUUUACUUCACUUCAAAUGCAUUUGGAAUUAAACAUCACUGUCUUAUCUUGUUGCCGCUCCUCUCCCCUCCCCAGGUAAUAAACCCAGCAAUAUUCUGAGGAGAGGUAAAACCAAGCCUCAGUUGAGUUUUUCACCGGGGACGUGUUUGGGUACCACGGCUUCGUGUUCUCUGUCCUGGACGUGGCUCAUGUAAUAACAGACAGUCCAUCACUGCAGGGGUGGGAACAAGACUCCUGCUGCACAACAGUGUUGCUCAUUUCAGGUUUUACUACCAGCUUGAUCAUAGUGAAACCAGUAAUGGAUCAAACCGCUAUGCAACGGGAGUCUUAUUUCCUAUCAAGGUUGUGCAUGCUAGAAUUUACACAGGGUCCACUUUUUGCAUUUGACUUUAGGUGUGCUGUUUACCAGUAUAGACCAUUUCAUAUCAUUGAACCCUGAAAUGGUUUAGCGUUUGGUUUUCAGAGAGAAGCCCAAAGUGGUGAAACCAGAGAGGAGCGACAAGCCUGAGGCCAAGAAACCCAAGCUGGAACCAAAAGAGACGACCCUGAAGACGGCCAGUUUCUGGAAGGUGAUUGGUUGAGCGAGAAAGCAAAGUCCUCCCUCAAACUCACGCCUCCAGACUACCUCCUCCUGCAAGUGCUCCUGAAAUUCCACACGGACAAGGGCAGAGAUGCUGUCCCGGAGACUGUGGGGGAGGACUCUGAGCUGCAGGGAGCGAGUGUG